Molecule: transfer RNA, 70 nt
Filed under: Apaloderma vittatum (bar-tailed trogon)
Lineage: Eukaryota; Metazoa; Chordata; Aves; Trogoniformes; Trogonidae
Rfam family: tRNA
About the family: Transfer RNA (tRNA) molecules are approximately 80 nucleotides in length.
Source: Rfam by way of RNAcentral
GGCCCGUUAGCUCAGUCAGAGUGUGGUGCUGAUAACACCAAGGUCACGGGUUCGAUCCCCGCUUGGUCCC